This 1218-nucleotide ribosomal RNA is filed under the name Cronobacter sakazakii. Its description in RNAcentral is "bacterial LSU rRNA". It matches the Rfam family "Bacterial large subunit ribosomal RNA", at positions 1 to 1251 of the family's 2925-position model. The record is from RNAcentral. Lineage: Bacteria; Pseudomonadati; Pseudomonadota; Gammaproteobacteria; Enterobacterales; Enterobacteriaceae.
GGGUUGUGAGGUUAAGCGAACAAGCGUACACGGUGGAUGCCCUGGCAGUCAGAGGCGAUGAAGGACGUGCUAAUCUGCGAAAAGCGCCGGUAAGGUGAUAUGAACCGUUAUAACCGGCGAUGUCCGAAUGGGGAAACCCGGUGCACUUCGGUGCAUCAUCGUUAGCUGAAUACAUAGGCUAACGAGGCGAACCGGGGGAACUGAAACAUCUAAGUACCCCGAGGAAAAGAAAUCAACCGAGAUUCCCCCAGUAGCGGCGAGCGAACGGGGAACAGCCCAGAGCCUGAAUCAGCUUGUGUGUCAGUGGAACGGUCUGGAAAGGCCGGCGAUACAGGGUGACAGCCCCGUACACGAAGGCACACAGGCUGUGAGCUCGAUGAGUAGGGCGGGACACGUGAUAUCCUGUCUGAAGAUGGGGGGACCAUCCUCCAAGGCUAAAUACUCCUGACUGACCGAUAGUGAACCAGUACCGUGAGGGAAAGGCGAAAAGAACCCCGGCGAGGGGAGUGAAACAGAACCUGAAACCGUGUACGUACAAGCAGUGGGAGCCUUCGUAAGAGGGUGACUGCGUACCUUUUGUAUAAUGGGUCAGCGACUUAUAUUCUGUAGCAAGGUUAACCGUAUAGGGGAGCCGAAGGGAAACCGAGUCUUAACCGGGCGUUAAGUUGCAGGGUAUAGACCCGAAACCCGGUGAUCUAGCCAUGGGCAGGUUGAAGGUUGGGUAACACUAACUGGAGGACCGAACCGACUAAUGUUGAAAAAUUAGCGGAUGACCUGUGGCUGGGGGUGAAAGGCCAAUCAAACCGGGAGAUAGCUGGUUCUCCCCGAAAGCUAUUUAGGUAGCGCCUCGUGAACUCAUCUCCGGGGGUAGAGCACUGUUUCGGCUAGGGGGCCAUCCCGGCUUACCAACCCGAUGCAAACUGCGAAUACCGGAGAAUGUUAUCACGGGAGACACACGGCGGGUGCUAACGUCCGUCGUGAAGAGGGAAACAACCCAGACCGCCAGCUAAGGUCCCAAAGUCAUGGUUAAGUGGGAAACGAUGUGGGAAGGCCCAGACAGCCAGGAUGUUGGCUUAGAAGCAGCCAUCAUUUAAAGAAAGCGUAAUAGCUCACUGGUCGAGUCGGCCUGCGCGGAAGAUGUAACGGGGCUAAACCAUGCACCGAAGCUGCGGCAGCGACACUAUGUGUUGUUGGGUAGGGGAGCGUUCUGUAAGCCUG